GGAAGUGGAGAGGGGAAAUUAGCAUCCCAUCAGAAAGAUUAGAUUGUAGGACAGGUAAACUUAACUAAAUUAGAAUUACCAGAUUCUUUCUGGCUACAGAAGUCAAGUGGAUACAUAAGCUAGUGCAACAACAGGAUGACCCUCAGACGUUAAUUCUGAAUGGCUCCAUGCAGAUUAAAUGGAUAUUUUUAAAAACAGUAUUUUUACAUUUUGCAAGAUAAGUCACAUAUCAAUGUGGCCGAAUAAACACAAAUGCAUUGGACAUGUUAGGCAAGGAUAUGCAAACAGUAUUUGACAUUGUGCUAUUUUGGGUGUUUGUUUCCCGGGAAAGAAUUGGCAAUAUAUUUCUCGGUUGCAUUGUAUUUUACAUGCUCCCUUUUGCAAGAUAUAUUAGCUACUCAAAUCAGAAUGCUACAUUAACCACAUAUUUAAACCAAAAUAUUCAUAAUAGACCUUAAAAAAAA
Long non-coding RNA from Lacerta agilis (Sand lizard), 464 nucleotides. RefSeq lists it as uncharacterized. The transcript is spliced from 2 exons. The record is from RefSeq and is a predicted model, not a curated record. NCBI's taxonomy places the organism in Eukaryota, Metazoa, Chordata, Lepidosauria, Squamata, Lacertidae.